Molecule: long non-coding RNA, 377 nt
Organism: Monopterus albus (swamp eel)
Lineage: Eukaryota; Metazoa; Chordata; Actinopteri; Synbranchiformes; Synbranchidae
Exons: 3
Source: RefSeq, a predicted model, not a curated record
UGGUUUAAAAUUUGAGAGCGGUCCUUGGAAAACAGCUGUUUGUUACGUCAGUUGGUAGUUUCUCAGGUGUGGAUUAGAAUAAGUUAGUUUGGUGCUAGUAUGUUGCCAGACACACAGGAAAACGGAGCUUGAAGUGUUUGCCCAGGAGAAAGGCAUCUUCAUCUCUGGUUGCUGCAGAACCAGGAACGAGGCGUCACCAGGUCCCAGAAACUAUUCUGGUGAGACGGAGAAGAAAAAUUGUUCUAACUACUCAUACAACACUCCUCCUCCUUCACGGUGGUAUUAUCUGACUGCAAAGAGGCAGAACAUGACCGGAUAGAAGAAGCCAAAGCCCAUAGUGAUGGCGUACUCGUGGACGGCAGCGGAGACUAUGAACA